GAGUCACGGGCUCACGGCGAGUCGGCGACUCCCUAUCUGGCCUUCCACAGUUCCACUCUCCUGCUCCAGCCUUCUGCUCCAGCUUACCCCAUAUACAAGCAUACAAAUCUUGCCUCCGCAUCUAAUCUGACCAGAGGAACCUGCUCAGACCCAUGGAGAUCAAGAUGAAAGACGCAUGGGGCCUGCUGCUCGUGGUCCUCCUCGGCCAGCUCGUUGCCUUCUCGAUGGCCGUCGCCAGCUUCGCCUCCUCCCUGAUUGCUAAUCUUGGAGUUGAUGCACCACUUACACAAUCAUUCUUCGCAUACCUCCUGUUGACCUUAGCUUAUGUGCCAAUCCUCUUUUGUCGUCGUCAGAAGCUGCGAAUACCUUGGUUUUGGUACUUAGCACUGUCCUUGAUUGAUGUGCAGGGAAACUAUCUGGUUGUCAAGGCGUACCAAUACUCAUACAUCACCAGCGUAACAUUGCUGGAUUGUUGGACUGUUUUAUGGGUCAUCUUACUCACCUGGUAUGCACUAGGCACAAGAUAUUCUUUCUGGCAAUUUCUGGGAGCAGGGACGUGUGUGGCAGGGCUUAGUCUUGUGCUCCUUUCAGAUGUGAAAUCUCCAGAUGAGCAGGAUCCACGUAAAAUCCCACUUCUAGGGGAUGCCCUUGUUAUUGCCGGGACAGUUUGUUAUGCACUUAGCACGGUUGGUCAGGAAUAUGGUGUCAAGACAACAGAUCGAAUAGAAGUUGUCGCAAUGCUUGGACAAUUUGGAUUACUUGUCAGCACAAUUCAGAUAUUUAUAUUCGAAAGGAAGAGCCUAGAAGCAGUUGUCUGGUCUCCAACAAUGAUAAGCUUGUUCACAGGAUUUGCCAUUGCAAAUUUUGUGUUCUACACCAUUACUUCUUUUGUCCUUAAGAUGAGUGGAGCAACAUUGUUUAACCUCUCACUCCUAACAUCUGACAUGUGGGUAGUCGCUAUUCGAGUUUUUGUCUAUCAACAACAGAUAAACUGGCUGUACUAUCUAGCAUUCGUAGUUGUGGCCAUUGGAUUGGUCAUCUACUCAUUAAAUGAGAGUUCCCUGGGUGAUGGACCAACUUUAAGUACAGAAGUAACAACUCAAUAUCAACAACUCCAACUGAGGAUAACUCAACAGGAAGCGGUCCUGAUUUGGACAGACAAUAAAGGAACCAACAGGAAGAAGCUCACAUCUGUUAG
Brachypodium distachyon (stiff brome) is the source of this 1198-nucleotide RNA transcript. It is a transcript of the gene named solute carrier family 35 member F1-like, with no coding region annotated. Lineage: Eukaryota; Viridiplantae; Streptophyta; Magnoliopsida; Poales; Poaceae. The transcript is spliced from 11 exons. The record is from RefSeq and is a predicted model, not a curated record.